AGUGGCGGACGGGUGAGUAACGCGUGAACAAUCUGCCCUAUACAGAGGAAUAGCCUCGGGAAACCGGGAUUAAAACCGCAUAAUACUUUAGUAUCGCAUGAUACAAAAGUCAAAUUGAUUAGAGGUAUAGGAUGAGUUCGCGUCUGAUUAGCUAGUUGGUGGGGUAAAGGCCCACCAAGGCGACGAUCAGUAGCCGGCCUGAGAGGGUGAACGGCCACACUGGAACUGAGACACGGUCCAGACUCCUACGGGAGGCAGCAGUGGGGAAUAUUGCACAAUGGGGGAAACCCUGAUGCAGCGACGCCGCGUGAGUGAAGAAGGUCUUCGGAUCGUAAAACUCUGUCCUUGGUGACGAAAAAAAUGACGGUAGCCAAGGAGGAAGCCCCGGCUAACUACGUGCCAGCAGCCGCGGUAAUACGUAGGGGGCGAGCGUUGUCCGGAUUUACUGGGCGUAAAGGGUGAGUAGGCGGUAAUAUGUGUCAGAUGUAAAAGGCUAAGGCUUAACCAUAGUUAGCAUUUGAAACUGUAUUACUUGAGUGCAGGAGAGGUAAGUGGAAUUCCUAGUGUAGCGGUGAAAUGCGUAGAUAUUAGGAGGAACACCAGUGGCGAAGGCGACUUACUGGACUGUAACUGACGCUGAGUCACGAAAGCGUGGGUAGCAAACAGGAUUAGAUACCCUGGUAGUCCACGCU
Molecule: ribosomal RNA, 692 nt
Filed under: uncultured bacterium
Lineage: Bacteria
Description: bacterial SSU rRNA
Rfam family: Bacterial small subunit ribosomal RNA
Source: RNAcentral